AAUUACUCAAGGAACUAAAUUGAGGCGUGGUUUGAAUUUUGCGGACGAAAUUCUUUUAAGGGGUGGAGAAUGUAACAUACCGGAUUUUAAUAUAAAAGUAAAAAUAAUAAAAAUAGUGUGAGAUACUAUUUUUAUUAGAUUUAGAGAAGUAAAGUAUAAGUCGGAAGCGACUUGUGCUGAAAUCAGAAUGAAAAUAGAAGAUUUAGAAUUUUCUGUGAGAAACGGGGUGAUAUUUUAGCAGAAAAUGCACAGUGUCAGAAAAUUAUGAAAACUGGAGAAUAUAUCAGAAUUAUUUUUAUAAGGCUAGAUUUAAAGUUUCAUGUCAUUCUGACACUCGGAAGGUGGAAAAUAAAAUCCGACUGCUAUCUGCUAGAGAUUACAGUUCGGUAGAGCUUUUGAUGACCAAACGGGGUCGAAAUUGAAAGAUUAAAAUUUCUUUCGUCAAGUUAAGUAAAACC
Molecule: long non-coding RNA, 458 nt
Filed under: Ananas comosus (pineapple)
Lineage: Eukaryota; Viridiplantae; Streptophyta; Magnoliopsida; Poales; Bromeliaceae
Description: long non-coding RNA (ACOM_LNC026790)
Source: RNAcentral